ACUCCUACGGGAGGCAGCAGUGGGGAAUAUUAGACAAUGGGCGCAAGCCUGAUCCAGCCAUGCCGCGUGAGUGAUGAAGGCCCUAGGGUUGUAAAGCUCUUUCACCGGUGAAGAUAAUGACGGUAACCGGAGAAGAAGCCCCGGCUAACUUCGUGCCAGCAGCCGCGGUAAUACGAAGGGGGCUAGCGUUGUUCGGAUUUACUGGGCGUAAAGCGCACGUAGGCGGACUAUUAAGUCAGGGGUGAAAUCCCGGGGCUCAACCCCGGAACUGCCUUUGAUACUGGUAGUCUUGAGUUCGAGAGAGGUGAGUGGAAUUCCGAGUGUAGAGGUGAAAUUCGUAGAUAUUCGGAGGAACACCAGUGGCGAAGGCGGCUCACUGGCUCGAUACUGACGCUGAGGUGCGAAAGCGUGGGGAGCAAACAGGAUUAGAAACCCCAGUAGUCCCA
RNAcentral lists this ribosomal RNA (446 nucleotides) under uncultured organism. RNAcentral describes it as "partial 16S ribosomal RNA". It matches the Rfam family "Bacterial small subunit ribosomal RNA", at positions 335 to 797 of the family's 1533-position model. The record is from RNAcentral.